AAUCAACGCUGGCGGCGUGCCUCAGACAUGCAAGUCGAACGCGAAAGUUUCCUUCGGGAACAAGUAGAGUGGCGCACGGGUGAGUAACACGUAGGUAAUCUACCUUCGGAUGGGGAAUAACAAUCGGAAACGGUUGCUAAUACCGCAUAAUGCAGCGGCACCUAAUGGUGACAGUUGUUAAAGCGGGGGAUCGAAAGACCUCGCGUCUGAAGAGGAGCCUGCGGCGGAUUAGCUAGNGGUAAGGUAAUGGCUUACCAAGGCUACGAUCCGUAACCGGCCUGAGAGGGCGGUCGGUCACACUGACACUGACAUACGGGUCAGACUCC
Molecule: ribosomal RNA, 326 nt
Filed under: uncultured bacterium
Lineage: Bacteria
Description: bacterial SSU rRNA
Rfam family: Bacterial small subunit ribosomal RNA
Source: RNAcentral